CGAAACCAAAAAACUGGGUUUUUCCAGUCAGUAGCAACUACAAAUAGGAGCCGCUACAGCAGAGAGGAAUUCACAUUUCCACCUCGCUUUUUCGAAUCGGUUCUUCAAUCGGUCAUCGGUUAUGUCUGACCCAAAACGCCAAUCCCUCGUCUGUGGAAUUGGGACAAGUAGUCAAGGGACAAAUGGUGCUCCUUGACAGAAAUUUCGUAAAGGAGAUCGUUCACGUAGAAUGUGGAUAGCCCGCGAAGAGGAGAUAUUGGCUACCUGUUUACUUGACCUCGUUGCACGUGGCUGGAAAUCCGACAAUGGGUUUCGCGCGGGUUACCUCCAAAAAAUUGAGGACACUAUCCGCCAAGAAUUUCCAAAAUCAGACAUCCAAGGUACCCCACAUAUAACCUCCAAGAUUUCUGCUUGGAAGAAGAGCUACAGCAGUCUCAGGAAAAUCCUAUCAAGGACUGGCAUUGGAUUCAACCCCGAUGGUGAUCAUAGGAUCGAUUGCGAUGAUGAGUAAUGGAAGCAAAUUGUCCAGGCGGACAAGCAUGCCAAGGGCAUGCGGAAUAAAUCCUAGCCAAUAUGGGAGACAUGGAAGACCAUUUUUGGAGUGGAUCGGGCAAGUGGAGGUGGGUCUGAACAGGUUGACAAGGCUGCUGAAGAAUUGCGUCGACGACCAGCCACAGAACCAGCCACGAUCAGUGAGUGCAAUGAGAACGACUACUAUCCAUUUUUCGAUGAUGUUCCCAUCGAUGUCACAACUCCAGUUGCUGAACAGCAUGACAUUAACGACUACAGUUCUGGCAAAGAAGAAAAGGCAGCGU
Molecule: long non-coding RNA, 815 nt
Organism: Salvia splendens (bonfire salvia)
Lineage: Eukaryota; Viridiplantae; Streptophyta; Magnoliopsida; Lamiales; Lamiaceae
Exons: 4
Source: RefSeq, a predicted model, not a curated record